AAGAGAGCUCACCAUGAACAGU
Molecule: microRNA, 22 nt
Filed under: Limulus polyphemus (Atlantic horseshoe crab)
Lineage: Eukaryota; Metazoa; Arthropoda; Merostomata; Xiphosura; Limulidae
Description: Lpo-Mir-281-P17_5p (mature (co-guide))
Source: RNAcentral